This 264-nucleotide unclassified non-coding RNA is filed under the name Hevea brasiliensis (rubber tree). Lineage: Eukaryota; Viridiplantae; Streptophyta; Magnoliopsida; Malpighiales; Euphorbiaceae. The record is from RNAcentral.
UUUUUUUUUUUUUUUUUAAAUACAAGAACUAAAAUCAAUUGAAUUAAUUUUUUGGAACAUAACGUGUGGGGUCAUGGAAACACUUGUUAAGAGAACUUCACCCGCGAAAAAAAAUUCCAUCUGAUAAACAAGAGUAGAAAGCAUUAAUGUUGCUGGAAAAUGCAAGAUAAUUCUUCUCUAUAAAAAAGAACAAGAUGUAUCAGUCUCAUAAGAAGAAGAUGUAAGAAUGCAAAUGUUACAAAAAAACAGAGGACCAUCGAACAG